Molecule: long non-coding RNA, 605 nt
Filed under: Homo sapiens (human)
Lineage: Eukaryota; Metazoa; Chordata; Mammalia; Primates; Hominidae
Description: HSALNT0352326
Source: RNAcentral
GCACAGUGGUGGCCACCGCGACUGGUGCUGAAGUGUUGGCGCGUGCCGGGCGCUCCGCUGGGACCCGGGUUGCUGGCCCUGAGUCUCAGCUUUCUCAUCUGUACGGUUGGGACAAGUACAGUAACCCUCGCCCGUCAAGACGGGCCAGGGCUGUGGCGAGGGUCCACGCCUUAGAGCAGGUACCUAUCUUGUGCAGGGCCCUGAGAUGGGGUCUGACUCAGUUCCUGCGGGGAACUUCACCAGUGACCCAGUCAGUGCCCUUCAGUUAAAGACCACCAGGAGCACACUUGAAGCCAGCUGGAAAUACAACAAAACGCCUCUCCCGCUCCUUUAGCAAAACAUGUGUCAGAGCAACGCAAGAUUUGAUUGGGACUGCUUUACUUCGUUAACAAUUACAGCAGGAGUAGGGCUGAUUGGAGCCAUUGUACAGUGUCGGGAACAUACCAGGACACUGAGAAUAGUGUCAUGUCAUAAGGACCCAGAGCAGAUGGACCCUGCUGUGAUGCACAAAGAGGACCACGCAAGAUAUGAUAAAGAUCUACAUCACUGAAUUUUGGUUCCAUUUUUGUAUCUCAGCUUCCAGGAAAUAAAAAAGAAUUCUAACA